Molecule: ribosomal RNA, 446 nt
Filed under: uncultured bacterium
Lineage: Bacteria
Description: SSU rRNA
Rfam family: Bacterial small subunit ribosomal RNA
Source: RNAcentral
AGAGCGAACGCUGGCGGCAGGCCUAACACAUGCAAGUCGAGCGCCCGUAGCAAUACGGGAGCGGCAGACGGGAUAGUAACACGUGGGAACGCGCCCUUCGGUUCGGAAUAACUCAGGGAAACUUGAGCUAAUACCGAAUACGCCCUUACGGGGAAGAUUUAUUGCCGAAGGAACGGCCCGCGUCCGAUUAGCUAGUUGGUGAGGUAAUGGCUCACCAAGGCUACGAUCGGUAGCUGGUCUGAGAGGAUGACCAGCAUCACUGGGACUGAGACACGGCCCAGACUCCUACGGGAGGCAGCAGUGGGGAAUAUGGACAAUGGGCGCAAGCCUGAUCCAGCCAUGCCGCGUGGGGGAGGAAGGCCUUCGGGUUGUAAACCACUGUCGAGGGGGACGAUAUUGACGGUACCCCUGGAGGAAGCCCCGGCUAACUACGUGCCAGCAGCCGC